RNAcentral lists this ribosomal RNA (110 nucleotides) under Piliocolobus tephrosceles (Ugandan red Colobus). Lineage: Eukaryota; Metazoa; Chordata; Mammalia; Primates; Cercopithecidae. The record is from RNAcentral.
GUCUACGGCCAUACCACCCUGAACGCACCCGAUCUCAUCUGAUCCCGGAAGCUAAGCAGGGUCGGGCCUGGUUAGUACUUGGAUGGGAGAAAUAAUCAGCAGAGUAAACA